AGCUCCAAUAGCGUAUAUUAAAGUUGUUGCAGUUAAAAAGCUCGUAGUUGAAUUUCUGGUCUCGCCGUCGGCCUUUCGGUGUCCGCCCCGCGAGAUCAUCCUCACCUCUGGGUGUCAUUUACUGUGAAAAAAUUAGAGUGUUUAAAGCAGGCUUUAGGCUUGAAUACAUUAGCAUGGAAUAAUAAGAUAGGACCAGUUUG
This 200-nucleotide ribosomal RNA is filed under the name uncultured eukaryote. Its description in RNAcentral is "partial 18S ribosomal RNA". It matches the Rfam family "Eukaryotic small subunit ribosomal RNA", at positions 587 to 835 of the family's 1831-position model. The record is from RNAcentral.